AGAGGCCUAUGUUUGUGACCUUACACCUCUCAUGAACAUACAAAAUCUCUAGACUUUUCAUUUGUCUGAAGUCAAUAACCUUAUCCUCACAACACAUAUCAAACAACAGUGUCCUAUACUCCUAUGCUAAAAGGUAAUUUUCUGCUCAGAGAAUAUUUCUUUGGACAUUUGAGCCACUUAGAUUUUCUAUUAACUUACUAGUUUUGGUUUACUCGUUUAAUAAGAGUGUCUUUUGGAUAUUCAUUGUGAUUUAAGUCACACUGUUUACUAGUACUAAUUUAAUUUAUGCUCAAAAUUUGUCAUCCC
This 306-nucleotide long non-coding RNA is filed under the name Capsella rubella. RNAcentral's name for it is "long non-coding RNA (CRUB_LNC004620)". Lineage: Eukaryota; Viridiplantae; Streptophyta; Magnoliopsida; Brassicales; Brassicaceae. The record is from RNAcentral.